Molecule: ribosomal RNA, 669 nt
Filed under: Escherichia coli
Lineage: Bacteria; Pseudomonadati; Pseudomonadota; Gammaproteobacteria; Enterobacterales; Enterobacteriaceae
Description: partial 23S ribosomal RNA
Rfam family: Bacterial large subunit ribosomal RNA
Source: RNAcentral
AUAAUGGGUCAGCGACUUAUAUUCUGUAGCAAGGUUAACCGAAUAGGGGAGCCGAAGGGAAACCGAGUCUUAACUGGGCGUUAAGUUGCAGGGUAUAGACCCGAAACCCGGUGAUCUAGCCAUGGGCAGGUUGAAGGUUGGGUAACACUAACUGGAGGACCGAACCGACUAAUGUUGAAAAAUUAGCGGAUGACUUGUGGCUGGGGGUGAAAGGCCAAUCAAACCGGGAGAUAGCUGGUUCUCCCCGAAAGCUAUUUAGGUAGCGCCUCGUGAAUUCAUCUCCGGGGGUAGAGCACUGUUUCGGCAAGGGGGUCAUCCCGACUUACCAACCCGAUGCAAACUGCGAAUACCGGAGAAUGUUAUCACGGGAGACACACGGCGGGUGCUAACGUCCGUCGUGAAGAGGGAAACAACCCAGACCGCCAGCUAAGGUCCCAAAGUCAUGGUUAAGUGGGAAACGAUGUGGGAAGGCCCAGACAGCCAGGAUGUUGGCUUAGAAGCAGCCAUCAUUUAAAGAAAGCGUAAUAGCUCACUGGUCGAGUCGGCCUGCGCGGAAGAUGUAACGGGGCUAAACCAUGCACCGAAGCUGCGGCAGCGACGCUGAUGCGUUGUUGGGUAGGGGAGCGUUCUGUAAGCCUGUGAAGGUGUGCUGUGAGGUAUGCUGGAGGU